This 526-nucleotide ribosomal RNA is filed under the name uncultured Chloroflexota bacterium. RNAcentral describes it as "bacterial SSU rRNA". It matches the Rfam family "Bacterial small subunit ribosomal RNA", at positions 355 to 896 of the family's 1533-position model. The record is from RNAcentral. Lineage: Bacteria; Bacillati; Chloroflexota.
UAAGGGAUAUUGGGCAAUGGGCGCAAGCCUGACCCAGCAACGCCGCGUGGAGGAAGAAGGUCUUCGGAUCGUAAACUCCUUUUGAGAGGGACGAGGAAGGACGGUACCUCUUGAAGAAGUGACGGCUAACUACGUGCCAGCAGCCGCGGUAAUACGUAGGUCACGAGCGUUAUCCGGAUUUACUGGGCGUAAAGCGUGUGCAGGCUGUUAGGUAAGUGGUGUAUGAAAGCGCUCGGCUUAACCGGGCGAGGCUAUGCCAGACUGCCUAGCUAGAGGCAGCCAGAGGGACAUGGAAUUCCGGGUGUAGCGGUGAAAUGCGUAGAGAUCCGGAGGAACACCAGAGGCGAAGGCGGUGUCCUGGGGCUGACCUGACGCUCAGACACGAAAGCACGGGGAGUGAACGGGAUUAGAAACCCCGGUAAUCCGUGCCGUAAACGAUGCAGACUAGAUGUCGGCGGUCUCAACUCCGUCGGUAUCGCAGCUAACGCGCUAAGUCUGCCGCCUGGGGACUACGGUCGCAAGACUA